UAAUGAUGGUGAGAGCAAUUUCUAACCUUACCCUUAAAUCUCUCCCAAGCUUGGUAAAGAUUUUCUCCUUCUUUCUUCCUGAAACUUAUAAUCUCACUUCUUAAAUG
This is a non-coding RNA of Capsicum annuum, 107 nucleotides long. NCBI's taxonomy places the organism in Eukaryota, Viridiplantae, Streptophyta, Magnoliopsida, Solanales, Solanaceae. The record is from Rfam.